CCCCGCAACUGUAAACGGCGAGGUCUUCUUCACGCAAAGCCACUGGGAAACCGGGAAGGCGGAGAAGAUCAAGGAACCGGAGCCAGGAAACCUGCCGCGCACGAUGUGAACCC
RNAcentral lists this non-coding RNA (113 nucleotides) under Alphaproteobacteria bacterium. Lineage: Bacteria; Pseudomonadati; Pseudomonadota; Alphaproteobacteria. The record is from RNAcentral.